RNAcentral lists this unclassified non-coding RNA (375 nucleotides) under uncultured Actinomycetes bacterium. RNAcentral's name for it is "uncultured actinobacterium contains 16S-23S intergenic spacer region". The record is from RNAcentral. Lineage: Bacteria; Bacillati; Actinomycetota; Actinomycetes.
UCCGGUUUGUCACCGGCAGUCUCCUUAGAGUGCCCGACUUAACGCUGGCAACUAAGGACAAGGGUUGCGCUCGUUGCGGGACUUAACCCAACAUCUCACGACACGAGCUGACGACAGCCAUGCAGCAUCUGUGGUGCACCCUCGAAGGUCACACGUUUCCGUGCGCUUGCAGCACCAUGUCAAGCCCAGGUAAGGUUCUUCGCGUUGCAUCGAAUUAAAGAACAUGCUCCGCUGCUUGUGCGGGCCCCCGUCAAUUCUUUUGAGUUUUAACCUUGCGGCCGUACUCCCCAGGCGGAUAACUUAAUGCGUUAGCUACGGCACGGAUUCCGUGGAAGGAACCCACACCUAGCGCCCACCGUUUACGGCGUGGACUAC